GUGCGAGACCGAUAGCGAACAAGUACCGUGAGGGAAAGAUGAAAAGAACUUUGAAAAGAGAGUUAAAGAGUACCUGAAACUGCUGAAAGGGAACCGAAUCGUAUCCAGUGUCUAUAAUCCAUGGCAUAUUUCAUUGGCGAAUGAGUGCGUGCGGCGUUUUGGAAGUGGUUUCCGCUCCUGUCGUUGUUGUGCAUUUUUUUGCUGGUGCCCUGUGCUGUGGUGGGACGUCAGAGUCAGUUUGUAUGCUGCGGGAAAUGGUUAUUGGGGAGGUAGGUCGCUUCGGUGGCUGUUAUAUCCUGGUGACUAGUCGUCGUGGCUGAGACUGAGGUGCCUACAAUGUGCUUUCGAGUCUGCGGAUUUCUCGUGUGGAUGUUUGCUUGGAUAGCUUGCUAUGUUGGCGAAUAGAUCGUGCGAUUGAGAUUUGUAGUAACUUGUUGCUGUUCGGGACUUUGAA
Molecule: ribosomal RNA, 454 nt
Filed under: uncultured Oomycota
Lineage: Eukaryota; Oomycota
Description: LSU rRNA
Rfam family: Eukaryotic large subunit ribosomal RNA
Source: RNAcentral